AUUGAACGCUGGCGGCAUGCUUUACACAUGCAAGUCGAACGGCAGCGCGGGCUUCGGCCUGGCGGCGAGUGGCGAACGGGUUAGUAAUACAUCGGCACGUUCCCAGUAGUGGGGGAUAGCUCGGCGAAAGCCGGAUUAAUACCGCAUACGACCUGAGGGUGAAAGCGGGGUUUCUUCCUACCUCGCGCUAUUGCAGCGGCCGAUGGCAGUUUAGCUAGUUGGUGGGGUAAUGGCCUACCAAGGCGACGAUCUGUAGCUGGUCUGAGAAGACGACCCGCCACAGUGGGAGUGAGAAAGGGCCCAGAGUCAUACGGGAGGCAGCAGUGGGAAAUAGUGGACAAGGAGCGAAAGCAAGAGACAGAAAUGCCGCGUGUGUAAGGAGGGCCUUCGAGGUGGAAAGCACGAUUGGAGGGAACGAAAAGGACGGUGAAAAUACCACGAGUGGAAGAAGGUACCCGCAGAAUAAGCACCGGCUAACUACGUG
This 484-nucleotide ribosomal RNA is filed under the name uncultured bacterium. RNAcentral's name for it is "partial 16S ribosomal RNA". It matches the Rfam family "Bacterial small subunit ribosomal RNA", at positions 29 to 507 of the family's 1533-position model. The record is from RNAcentral.